RNAcentral lists this long non-coding RNA (5456 nucleotides) under Triticum aestivum (bread wheat). RNAcentral describes it as "long non-coding RNA (TAES_LNC016737)". Lineage: Eukaryota; Viridiplantae; Streptophyta; Magnoliopsida; Poales; Poaceae. The record is from RNAcentral.
UAAGCGAGACCAAGACCAAUCCCAUCCCCAGCCGCCGCAUCUGUGGGCAUGCCACCGUUCGCCAGCAGUGGUUGAUUCAAUUGUCGUUUUAGAUCGUGUUAGUUUUGGUUUGCGGUGAUGCAAACAGAUGCUUACUGUGAAAUUGUUGGUUAAUCUAGUGUUGAUCGACCAUUAUCGAUAUAUGCAAUUUUGAGGUACUCUGAAGUUGAUGCCUCCUGUUCUCUGAAUCCUCUUGUGAUUUCCGUUCUCUGAAUCCUCUUGUGAUUUCCGUUCUCCGACUCCUCUUGCGAUUUUCUCUGUGGUGGAUAGAGGUCAUGUGGCUGUGGUUCUUUGAAUUUUCGUCGGAUGUGGUGGGGAAUUUGAUUUGGGCACUCUCGUGAUGGUGAUCUCUGUAACAGGACGAAGAUGAGCGAUAGGUGUAGGCUCGACACCAUCCUGUUUCUUAACUGGAUGGUUAAAAAGACCAUCGGCUUCUUCGUUUCGCUAGCGCAAAACGUACUCAUCUACAUCAGUUUGAGUAACUCAUUUGACAUCAGUUCAAGUAAAUUUGAGAUGUUGCCUUCCUUCAAUCCUUUUUAUCAUUUCGGCUGCUUGGUUGUACAAUCUGUGAUGGAUCCGGAAAUAAAACGAGGAAAAUCUUGAAACCCUUCCCUGUUUCCCGGACCAGCACGAACUAGCUGUCCAGUCAAAAUUCUGAAGUAGGAAGCACACAGUGUGUGCGUGUUAUGCCAAAUCAACACUGAAUUUCAGUCUACCUGAAUUAGCUGAAUUUGGCUCAGAGAAGUGUGACUUCAUAUGCUAAACUGAGAUUUCCACCAUACUUUUUAUCGCAGGUGCUUGGCAGAUGGAUCGAACAGAGAUGGAGAUGAAGUACUACUAAUCCAUUAAUACACGACAGAGUCUAUGUACAGAGAGGUGGACACGAAUUUGUGAUGUUCCUUUGGAUUGAUGGGUAUUCUGUCAAAAUAAUUUACUGUUAGAUCUCUGUAUAGCUUAUUUAUUGUUAUUGGAUUAGCUACUGUACUGGGCUUAUCUGAAUAUAUUCUUAUUAUUUCUUAACGGUGGGUUUAAGAAACCAACCCUUGUAAGCUUCCCUGCUACUGCUCGUCAUGAUCAAAACACAACAGAUGUUCUGUAUGUCAUCCGUGUUAUUUCAAAACCUUCAGAAUUUGUAAAUCUUCUCAUAGGGAUGUUCCAAUCUUCUCAUAGGAAUUACUCCCUUCAUCCCAUAAUAUAAGAGCUUGACACUAGUGUGAAACGUUCUUAUAUUGUGAGACGAAGGGAGUACUAUUUAAUGACUAUUUAAUGAUGUUACUUCAGAAUUAACGUGUUGUGCUUCGACUAGCAAUGCUUGUGCUUUUCCAAGUGAGCUGCUUCGUCCAGUAUGAACACAUGACUGUCCUUAGAUAGUUUAGAUGGUUAAUCCACUGUUGUUUCAGUGAGUAUUAUGUUUGUAAAUCUGCAAUUGAGACACCAACUUUUUGUAGGUGCACCUGAGGUAAUUAUAUUAAAUCAUCAUUGCUUUCUCUCUCUACUCUCGCAAAAAAAUUGCAUCUCUCUACAGAUGUUGUCCUUGAGAUCUCUAGUUUUUCUCAAGCAACAAUUUGCUACACUAUGUAUCAAGGAAAUAUAAACGUACCGUUCUCUUUUACUACUCCCUCCCUCCGAAAAUACUUGUCAUCAAAAUAGAUAAAAAGAGAUGUAUCUAGAACUACCUUUUUAUUCAUUUCGAUGACAAAUAUUUUCGGAGUAAUAAUACUUCUAUCUAGAGAAUGCAUUAGAGCAUCUCCAACCGCCGCCGAACGCGCCGCGCGCUAAAAAUUACUUUGCCGCGCGCCCAUCGCCUGGUUUGGCGUGACAAGCAACGCUGGCUCCAGCAGCGGCGCUAAAAUGCAGCGCGCGUGCAGCUCCAGCAGCGCGCAAAAAUGCAGCGCGCGCGACUCUCGCACAAACAACAUAUGCAUUCCAAAACAGAAGCAAAAGAUCAAACACAAACAAAAUAAAUAGUUCAAUUUCGUUAUUACAACUCAAACAAACAAUUUAUCGUUCAAAACAACAAAUAGUGCAAUAAACACAACAAAUAGUUCAACAAUACAAUGUCGAACGCAUAAAUCAUGAUGCUCUUUAUCGUCCAUUCCAUGCCCACCACUCCUCAAUGAGAUCCUUCUUGAGUUCAUCAUGCGCUGCCGGACGUCGAAUGGCAUGAUAGGAGGCAACAAAACGGGCUACCCUUUCAGCCCUCCGUCGCACUCGCACGGGAUGUCCCAACAACUCAUACUGAGAGUAGUCUACAUCUUGGCCACGCUCAUUCUCGAUGAUCAUGUUAUGCAUGAUCACACACGCGUGCAUGAUGUACCAAAGCAUUUUUUGAUCCCAAAAUCUAGCCGGUCCUCUCACAAUAGCAAUUUGGGCUUGCAAAAUCUCAAAAGCUCUCUCCACAUUUUUUCUAGCCGCCGCCUGAGCAUUGUGGAAAUCAAGAUUUUUCCUACCUUCCGGCUUUUUUAACGGCUUCACAAAGGUUUGCCACUUUGGAUAGAUGCCAUCCGCUAGAUAAUAGCCGUAGUUGUAUGUACGACCAUUUGCUACAAACUGCACCGGUGGCAAAUCACCAUUUGCAAUCUUAUUCAUCAGUGGUGACCGGUUGACAACAUUGAUGUCAUUCAAAGAUCCAGUCAUUCCAAAGAAUGCAUGCCAAAUCCAAGUCUCUUGAUCGGCCACUGCUUCAAGGAUUAUAGUGGAACCUUUUUUUUGGCCGUGGAAUUGCCCAUGCCAUUCCUUUAGACAAUUCUUCCAACUCCAAUGCAUGCAAUCUAUUGAGCCAAGCAUACCAGGAAAGCCGCGAGCUUUGUUCAUCUCCAAUAGCCUUGCGACGUCUUCAGCAUUGGGAGAUCUCAAAUACUCCUGGCCAAACACUUGCACAAUUCCGACUGCGAAGCGCUUGACACACAUGAUGGCCUGGCUCUCACCCAUAGCCAAGUGAUCAUCAACUAGACCAGUCGGGAUACCGUAUGCCAACAUACGCAAAGCGGCUGUUACCUUCUGAAAGGUGCUAUGCCCGAGCUCUCCGGCGGCAUUCCUCCUUUGCUGAAAAAAUCGGUCAUGGCUAGCCAGUUUCUCUGCAAUGCGCCUAAACAACUCGGUGCUCAUCCUAAACCGGUGACGAAAGUACGACUCUGGGUAUGUGGGAUUCUCCACGAAAUAGUGCCUCAUCAAUCUGUUAUGGGCAUCAAUCCUAUCCCUCCGAAUUUUCUGCCGACCCAUAACCGAACCACCGUGCUUCGGUUUUUUGUUGAUGUGCAUAGCUAGGAUCAUUGCAAGAUCCUCCUCCUCUUCCAUAUCAAAUUCUUCUUCGAAAGAAUCAUAUGACAAACUCAUCUACAAUGUUCAAUACUAUGCUAUUAAAACUACAAUCAACAUGCACCAAAUUCAUGAAGUUCGAGCAAUACAUACCUUGCAGGCGUUUUGUCAAACACCUUGCGGGCGCCGAGCGGCAGCGAGCGCCCGGGUGCUGUUCGUCGGAGGACGGACGCGCGCGAGGGGCGGUGAUGACUAGAGGGGGAGGGGGGAGGAAGCCGCCGCAACGCAGAGAUAGGCCGGGGAAGCGCCGGAACGGUCGCUGGGUGGCGCGGGCGGCGGCGGCGCCGCGGCUGGAGGGGGAGUUGUGAGCGAGCGCGCGGGAGCGAGCGCAGCAAAUAGGCGGCGCACGAUGGAGUUUCGGCCCGCGCACUGAACUACAUAUGCCGCGCGCGCGGUUUUUGCGCGCCCGCUGGAGCCACUAUACCGGCUGCGCGCGCGCUAAAAUGGGCAAUUUUGCGGCGCGACGCUUGUUUGGCGCUGCUGUUGGAGAUGCUCUUAGAAUCAACAUUCCGGAAGAUAGAGACCAUCGACUUAAAUAUGUAUUGCAUUUUGCUCAAUUCCAAACCUUGGAAAUAGAAUUAAAAUGAACAUGUUCAGACCAAAACAGCAUGCCAAAGGAGAUUGUAUUUUUCACAUUAAUUUUUUUUGAACCGGACGUACCCCUUUCCAUUUGCAUUAAACGGAAAUACAAAAGUUCCAGGUAACUAGGGAGAAGGGAAAGGAGGCAGCGAGUUCAACGCACUGACAGGAAAUCCACCGUGCCCGCCUGUCAUCGAAACGAGCACUAUGGGGCGAAAACCUGAUAACACCAUACAGUCUAAACAACAUACAAAUCCAGAACACCAACUAAACAUGAGAACUAAAGGGACUCAGAAAGCCCAAAACGACUAGCAUGCAAGCUGUGAUGUAAUGUAGCCAAGCUUAUCACCAGGUCAGCACCUCUCCAUCAUCAUCCGCCGUGCGCCUGGCCUUCUCACACAUCGCCAUCAGCCUGGUCAAGCUUGAGCGAAUCAUCUCUGCACCUUGGCGUAGCUCCUCCGCUUCUUCCUUGUUCUGAAGUCCUGCCCAGUACAAAAGAAAAGAACAUGCCGAAAACACAAUCUCAAAAGAAGAUUUAAUUAACUUCUUCUCAAAGGUAGCCCUAUUAUGAGCCAACCAUAUAGCCCAGGUCACAGCAGCCAGGCCAACUGUGAAGAAUUUAGCUCCAUUCGGCAUAAACAUAUUGCACCACACAUAAUAUUGCCAAGCAUUAUAGGACACAGGUCAGUCCCCAGGACCACACCAAUUGAUCUCCAGGCAACUCGCGCCACGGGGCAGGAGAAGAACAAAUGAGAAUCUGUUUCCAGCUUACCACAAAAGAAACACACAGGGUUUCCUGGUCAUUUUUUUCUUUCCAUCACAGAUCUGGUGAGCGCCGCAUCUUGGGCCAUUUACCACAAGAAUACCUAGAUUUUAAGAGGAAGUUUUGCUCCCCAGAUUCAUUUAUAGUUGCAUCCACUAAUAGGCUUCUUCAGCCACUUGUACAUAGAUUUAGUAGUAUACUUGACAUUUUUAUUGAGCCCCCAAUAAACCGAGUCUCUAUCAGCAGAGAGGUUUAGACCCGCAACUAGCGCACGUAUUAAUCCAAUGCAGUUAAAUCUAUGUACAAGUGGCUUCUCCAGCCACUUGUACAUAGAUUUUUCACAUAAAUUCAAUGCAGUUAAAUCUGAAAACAACAAUGGCAUGGAGUACAGGGCCGGAAACUUCAAACAUGUAUUGCUAGCUUUCAAAGAUUCAUUUCAACAUGGGGAGAAAUAACAAGGUGUUCACAACGGCUGCCAAGAAGAAGGUUGCUAAAUGCAAGGAACGUGUAGACUGAUCUGGACCAAAGAUUUGCAAUCCAAUGGCACAAGUUUUGUUUUCAUAUUUUCACUGAAAUUGAGUUUCCAUUGGAUGGUCGGUGGUUUCAGGGCGCGCUAUGCUGGCCACUCACGGUGUGUUUUUGGUGGGAGUUAUGCUGGGUUGACAUUGGCCCUUUUUUUUUGAGUACGGCCCUCAUAGGCAUUUUAUUCACUCAACCAUCGUACAUUGUCUGAGUGAUACACAUCACUAAAAAAAAA